CCCAAUGUGAACGUUACCAAACUGUUGCCUCGGCGGGAUCUCUGCCCCGGGUGCGUCGCAGCCCCGGACCAAGGCGCCCGCCGGAGGACCAACCAAAACUCUUUUUGUAUACCCCCUCGCGGGUUUUUUAUAAUCUGAGCCUUCUCGGCGCCUCUCGUAGGCGUUUCGAAAAUGAAUCAAAACUUUCAACAACGGAUCUCUUGGUUCUGGCAUCGAUGAAGAACGCAGCGAAAUGCGAUAAGUAAUGUGAAUUGCAGAAUUCAGUGAAUCAUCGAAUCUUUGAACGCACAUUGCGCCCGCCAGUAUUCUGGCGGGCAUGCCUGUCCGAGCGUCAUUUCAACCCUCGAACCCCUCCGGGGGGUCGGCGUUGGGGAUCGGCCCUGCCUCUUGGCGGCGGCCGUCUCCGAAAUACAGUGGCGGUCUCGCCGCAGCCUCUCCUGCGCAGUAGUUUGCACACUCGCAUCGGGAGCGCGGCGCGUCCACAGCCGUUAAACACCCAACUUCUGAAAUGUUGACCUCGGAUCAGGUAGGAAUACCCGCUGAACUUAAGCAUAUCAAUAAGCGGAGGAAAAGAAACCAACAGGGAUUGCCCCAGUAACGGCGAGUGAAGCGGCAACAGCUCAAAUUUGAAAUCUGGUCCCUAGGGCCCGAGUUGUAAUUUGUAGAGGAUGCUUUUGGUGAGGUGCCGCCCGAGUUCCCUGGAACGGGACGCCACAGAGGGUGAGAGCCCCGUCUGGCUGGCCGCCGAGCCUCUGUAAAGCUCCUUCGACGAGUCGAGUAGUUUGGGAAUGCUGCUCAAAAUGGGAGGUAUAUGUCUUCUAAAGCUAAAUAUUGGCCAGAGACCGAUAGCGCACAAGUAGAGUGAUCGAAAGAUGAAAAGCACCUUGAAAAGAGGGUUAAAUAGUACGUGAAAUUGUUGAAAGGGAAGCGCUUGUGACCAGACUUGGGCGCGGCGGAUCAUCCGGGGUUCUCUCCGGUGCACUUCGCCGCGUCUAGGCCAGCAUCAGUUCGUCGCGGGGGAAAAAGGCUUCGGGAACGUGGCUCCUCCGGGAGUGUUAUAGCCCGUUGCAUAAUACCCUGCGGUGGACUGAGGACGCGCA
RNAcentral lists this small RNA (1100 nucleotides) under Trichoderma harzianum. RNAcentral describes it as "eukaryotic LSU rRNA". The stretch from base 513 to 1100 matches the Rfam family "Eukaryotic large subunit ribosomal RNA", at positions 1 to 599 of the family's 3401-position model. Lineage: Eukaryota; Fungi; Ascomycota; Sordariomycetes; Hypocreales; Hypocreaceae. The record is from RNAcentral.